UAUGUGAUCGUCUCUCGCAUAUCAAUAAGCGGAGGAAAAGAAAAUAACAAUGAUUUCCCCUAGUAACGGCGAGUGAAGCGGGAAGAGCUCAAAUUUGAAAUCUUAAAGGGUUUCCCUUUACGAAUUGUAGUUUAAAGAAGUGUUUUCUGUUGAGGUUUUGGUAAAAGUUCUUUGGAAUAGGACAUCAUAGAGGGUGAGAAUCCCGUAUUUGACCUUUACUUUCAACUUUGUGAUACACUUUCAAAGAGUCGGAUUGUUUGGGAAUGCAGUCCAAAAUGGGUGGUAAAUUUCAUCUAAAGCUAAAUAUUGGCGAGAGACCGAUAGCGAACAAGUACCGUGAGGGAAAGAUGAAAAGAACUUUGAAAAGAGAGUUAAACAGUACGUGAAAUUGUCAAAAGGGAAGCGUUUGACACCAGUGUUGUUUUUCUGAAAAUCAAUUAAAGAACUGUUUAUGCUAAGUUGUUUAGACUUUAUCAGCUAAUCUGUUUAGUUUUGAGCUUUUCUUUAAUGCACUUUUCAGUUAACAAGUCAACAUCAAUUUCUUUUGCUGUAAAAAAGCUUGAGGAAGGUGGCUUGAGAUUCGUCUUAAGUGUUUAUAGCCUCUUGCCUAUGCAGUCGGAGAGAUUGAGGUCUGCAGCGUAGAUCCUUCGGGGCUAAAUGCAUUUGUGCUAAGUUAUAGCAUUUUAUAGACAACUUGUUGACUAUGAUUUGUCUUGUAGCUUACUCGCUUAUGUUAUUUUACCUACGCUUAGGAUGUUGAAGUCAUGUAUCGCGC
Molecule: ribosomal RNA, 775 nt
Filed under: uncultured Neocallimastigales
Lineage: Eukaryota; Fungi; Neocallimastigomycota; Neocallimastigomycetes; Neocallimastigales
Description: partial large subunit ribosomal RNA
Rfam family: Eukaryotic large subunit ribosomal RNA
Source: RNAcentral